This 437-nucleotide ribosomal RNA is filed under the name uncultured bacterium. RNAcentral describes it as "partial 16S ribosomal RNA". It matches the Rfam family "Bacterial small subunit ribosomal RNA", at positions 29 to 507 of the family's 1533-position model. The record is from RNAcentral.
AGCGAACGCUGGCGGCAGGCUUAACACAUGCAAGUCGAGCGGGCAUCCUUGUGGUGUCAGCGGCAGACGGGUGAGUAACGCGUGGGAACGUGCCCUUCGGUUCGGAAUAACUCAGGGAAACUUGAGCUAAUACCGGAUACGUGCGAGAGCAGAAAGGUUUAUCUGCCGAAGGAUCGGCCCGCGUCUGAUUAGCUAGUUGGUGAGGUUAUGGCUCACCAAGGCGACGAUCAGUAGCUGGUCUGAGAGGAUGAUCAGCCACACUGGGACUGAGACACGGCCCAGACUCCUACGGGAGGCAGCAGUGGGGGAUAUUGGACAAUGGGGGCAACCCUGAUCCAGCCAUGCCGCGUGAGUGAUGACGGCGUUAGGGUUGUAAAGCUCUUUUCUUCGGGACGAUAAUGACGGUACCGGAGGAAUAAGCCCCGGCUAACUUCGUG